GCCGGAGUGGUGGAACUGGUAGACGCGCCGGACUCAAAAUCCGGUAGGGGAGACCCUGUGCGGGUUCGAUUCCCGCCUCCGGCA
RNAcentral lists this transfer RNA (84 nucleotides) under soil metagenome. It matches the Rfam family "tRNA". Rfam says of the family: Transfer RNA (tRNA) molecules are approximately 80 nucleotides in length. Their secondary structure includes four short double-helical elements and three loops (D, anti-codon, and T loops). Further hydrogen bonds mediate the characteristic L-shaped molecular structure. tRNAs have two regions of fundamental functional importance: the anti-codon, which is responsible for specific mRNA codon recognition, and the 3' end, to which the tRNAs corresponding amino acid is attached (by aminoacyl-tRNA synthetases). tRNAs cope with the degeneracy of the genetic code in two manners: having more than one tRNA (with a specific anti-codon) for a particular amino acid; and 'wobble' base-pairing, i.e. permitting non-standard base-pairing at the 3rd anti-codon position. The record is from RNAcentral. RNAcentral also lists the same sequence under 1 other name.